Molecule: long non-coding RNA, 238 nt
Filed under: Elaeis guineensis (African oil palm)
Lineage: Eukaryota; Viridiplantae; Streptophyta; Magnoliopsida; Arecales; Arecaceae
Description: long non-coding RNA (EGUI_LNC017556)
Source: RNAcentral
CCCAAAUACCUAUUUUCGCUGAGCGGGGCUCCGGUUCAUUGAUCACUACAAUAACAAGCUUCCAUUUUCAAUAAGUAUAGUCAUGCUAUUGCCGCCAAGAAAAGAAUUAGGGAUAUAUAACUAUCAAAAUUAGCAACAUAUUCAUAACUAUUUAAUUGUAUUGUGUGAUCACGGCCGUCCAUAAAAACUAGCCCGCUCUCAUUUGACAAAUUUUAGUGGAAUCACAAAAUAUUAGACC